This 437-nucleotide ribosomal RNA is filed under the name Omaspides bistriata. RNAcentral describes it as "eukaryotic LSU rRNA". The record is from RNAcentral. Lineage: Eukaryota; Metazoa; Arthropoda; Insecta; Coleoptera; Chrysomelidae.
GGGUCGAAUGGGGAAAUUCAUUCGCGUUUCGAUUGUCGGCGUUAAGCUGUUGCGUGACUGAUGGGGUACGCUUCGUGAGCACCUUCAGUUUUUCGAACCGACUUCGAACGCGUGCACUUUUCCCCUAGUAGGACGUCGCGAUCCGUUGGGUGUCGAUCUAAGGCCUGUGGUGGAGCUCGCGUGGACGUUUCGGCGUUCCAUACGAACCCGCAGUGACCCGAUCSACUCGCUCGACGGUAUAAAGAUGGCGCGAGGCCGCUACACAGUUAGCGUUCGGCCUACGGCAAGCACGUACGGUGUUUGAUGGCAAUCAGACCUAAUCGGAUCCCGUCCCCGGACSACUGUWGGCACGUARUGUUCUCGAACAGACCUCGUUUAAACGCCAAUCUGCGACGCUAUAGCUUUGGGUACUUUCAGGACCCGUCUUGAAACACGGA